RNAcentral lists this ribosomal RNA (492 nucleotides) under uncultured bacterium. RNAcentral's name for it is "partial 16S ribosomal RNA". It matches the Rfam family "Bacterial small subunit ribosomal RNA", at positions 29 to 507 of the family's 1533-position model. The record is from RNAcentral.
AGUGAACGCUGGCGGUAGGCCUAACACAUGCAAGUCGAACGGCAGCACAGUAAGAGCUUGCUCUUACGGGUGGCGAGUGGCGGACGGGUGAGGAAUACAUCGGAAUCUACCUUUUCGUGGGGGAUAACGUAGGGAAACUUACGCUAAUACCGCAUACGACCUACGGGUGAAAGCAGUGGAUCUUCGGACCUUGCGCGAUUGAAUGAGCCGAUGUCGGAUUAGCUAGUUGGCGGGGUAAAGGCCCACCAAGGCGACGAUCCGUAGCUGGUCUGAGAGGAUGAUCAGCCACACUGGAACUGAGACACGGUCCAGACUCCUACGGGAGGCAGCAGUGGGGAAUAUUGGACAAUGGGCGCAAGCCUGAUCCAGCCAUACCGCGUGGGUGAAGAAGGCCUUCGGGUUGUAAAGCCCUUUUGUUGGGAAAGAAAAGCAGCAGGUUAAUACCCCGCUGUUCUGACGGUACCCAAAGAAUAAGCACCGGCUAACUUCGUG